RNAcentral lists this ribosomal RNA (496 nucleotides) under Idaea biselata. RNAcentral's name for it is "eukaryotic LSU rRNA". Lineage: Eukaryota; Metazoa; Arthropoda; Insecta; Lepidoptera; Geometridae. The record is from RNAcentral.
UUAGGAAGGAGUUCAAGAGUACGUGAAACCGCUCAGGGGUAAACCUGCGAAACUCGAAUGAACGAACGGAGAGAUUCAUCGUCUUUUUCGGGCGUACGAGCGUCGCUUCGAUGAUGUCGCCUUCGGGCGUGCGUCACGAUCGACGUCCGUUUUACGUCCCGGGACGGCGUGCACUUCUCUCUUAGUAAUACAUCGCGACCCGUUCGAUGUCGGUCUACGCUCCGUACGGGAGUCUCUCGGUACGCUCUCGGGCGUCGCCGGGUUGACCGUUGCGUGAGCCGACCGGCCGUCGGACGGUAGAACAACGAAACGUGCACGCGCUCGCGCGCGUCCGGCCCGACGCAAGAUUAGCGGCGUCUCUUUCCCUCUGCCAGAGUGCGAGGGAGAGGGCGACGCGUCUGAUUUUGUCGCCGCCGUGCUGUCUCGGACCGUGCACGUAUCCGUCUGCGAUGAUUCAGUUUCGGGCACUCGCAGGACCCGUCUUGAAACACGGCCC